RNAcentral lists this ribosomal RNA (385 nucleotides) under uncultured bacterium. RNAcentral describes it as "bacterial SSU rRNA". It matches the Rfam family "Bacterial small subunit ribosomal RNA", at positions 354 to 752 of the family's 1533-position model. The record is from RNAcentral.
CGAAGGAAUUUUCGGCAAUGGGGGCAACCCUGACCGAGCGACGCCGCGUGGAGGAUGACGGCCUUCGGGUUGUAAACGUCCUUUUGCGGGGGUAUGACAUCGACCGUACCCCGCGAAUCAGGCUCGGCUAACUCUGUGCCAGCAGCCGCGGUAAGACAGAGGAGCCAAGCGUUGUCCGGAUUGACUGGGCGUAAAGCGCACGCAGGCGGCCGUGCACGUGGGGGGUGUGAAAGCUGGUGGCUUAACUGCCAGAUGUCACCUCAUACGGCGCGGCUCGAGCCCUGCAGAGGUCCAUGGAAUUGCCGGUGUAGUGGUGAAAUGCGUAGAGAUCGGCAGGAACACCCAGGGGGAAACCAGUGGACUGGGCAGGAGCUGACGCUCAGGU